GCCUGGGUGGCUCAGUCGGUUGAGCGUCCGACUUCGGCUCAGGUCAUGAUCUCGCGGUCCGUGGGUUCGAGCCCCAUGUCAGGCU
Molecule: transfer RNA, 85 nt
Organism: Felis catus (domestic cat)
Lineage: Eukaryota; Metazoa; Chordata; Mammalia; Carnivora; Felidae
Rfam family: tRNA
About the family: Transfer RNA (tRNA) molecules are approximately 80 nucleotides in length. Their secondary structure includes four short double-helical elements and three loops (D, anti-codon, and T loops).
Source: Rfam